RNAcentral lists this unclassified non-coding RNA (468 nucleotides) under Hevea brasiliensis (rubber tree). Lineage: Eukaryota; Viridiplantae; Streptophyta; Magnoliopsida; Malpighiales; Euphorbiaceae. The record is from RNAcentral.
GAACACACUAAGAAUAAGAAAAUGGCAAAACAUGGCUGCUGAGAAACAUAACAAAAGCAAAAACAUCAGAAAAAAAUGAAGUUCAUACUUCAUUGACCAAUGACAGUGUCAAGACCUAAAUUCAAGUAGACUUCUAUUGAUCUUGUUUUAUAUUACGACCCAAGUUGCUAUGUAAAUUACCACCAACAACUAAGGACUUUUGAGCCACAAAGUCUUUGGUGCCUAGGAUAACACUUUAGGAUCAUGGACCUACCCUAGAACAACCCAAGACACAUAGCCUAGGGCAUGACAUUUAUAAGUAUGGAAAAAUGUAUAGGUCUCUAGAAUUCGUAUUGAUGUAAUGCCAUAGAUGGGGUUAAGAUUGAGAUAUAUUUGGAAAAUGUGCUUUCUACAGUUACUUUGUUUUUAUUGGACUUUGUUUUUACUUUGUGCUCUUAGACAUAAAAUUUGGUUUUAUUCCACUCAUAU